RNAcentral lists this ribosomal RNA (500 nucleotides) under Orthotylus interpositus. RNAcentral's name for it is "partial large subunit ribosomal RNA". It matches the Rfam family "Eukaryotic large subunit ribosomal RNA", at positions 755 to 1243 of the family's 3401-position model. The record is from RNAcentral. RNAcentral also lists the same sequence under 1 other name. Lineage: Eukaryota; Metazoa; Arthropoda; Insecta; Hemiptera; Miridae.
GCACUCCCGGGGCGUCUCUAUCUCAUUGCGAGAGGAGGCGCACCUAUAGCGUACACGCUGAUACCCGAAAGAUGGUGAACUAUGCCUGGCCAGGACGAAGCCAGGGGAAACCCUGGUGGAGGUCCGCAGCGAUUCUGACGUGCAAAUCGAUCGUCGGAGCUGGGUUUAGGGGCGAAAGACCAAUCGAACCAUCUAGUAGCUGGUUCCCUCUGAAGUUUCCCUCAGGAUAGCUUGCGCUCGGACGAGACGAGUCUCAUCCGGUAGAGCGAAUGAUUAGAGGCCUUGGGGUCGAAACGACCUCAACCUAUUCUCAAACUCCAAAUAGAUGAGAACCCUGGCUUUCUUAAACUAUGAAGCCAAGGGGUUUCGGAUCAGAGUGCCAAGUGGGCCAAUUUUGGUAAGCAGAACUGGCGCUGUGGGAUGAACCAAACGCGGAGUUAAGGCGCCUCAAUCGACGCUCAUGUGAGACCAUGAAAGGCGUUGGUUGCUUAAGACAGCAG